Long non-coding RNA from Hemicordylus capensis (graceful crag lizard), 828 nucleotides. RefSeq lists it as uncharacterized. Lineage: Eukaryota; Metazoa; Chordata; Lepidosauria; Squamata; Cordylidae. The record is from RefSeq and is a predicted model, not a curated record. The transcript is spliced from 4 exons.
CCUACUCCGCCUUUGCUCCGCCGCCGCCGCUACUACUCAGUCUCUCGGGUCAAGUUUCUAUACUUUCCUUUUGCAUCAUCACAUCCAGCAAAGGACGCCCAGAACAGAAGCACGAGGAGGCGAAAGGCCGUCAAUGCGGAAGUGAAAGGAAAGCUUGGGCCGUCAUGUGGUUUUCUAGGGAGAAUGCAGGAGUGGUUUACCAUUGCCUUCCUCCCGCGCAGCACCUGAAGAUACAGCCCCAAGGAGGUCUCUGUGGAGGAGUCACUUCAGACAUUAUUGAUGUGGCAGUUAAAUAUAACAGCUUUCCAGUCUGUGAUGAAAGGGACACGACCUGCUAUUCAAAUGCAACGUCAGACGAAGGAGGAGAAGCCUGUCACUGGAGUCCGUGAGCCUGGAGCAGACUGUCCUGUCGGAGUGUACACCCCUCCUGAGCUCUGCGUUGUGAUGACAGUCUGGAAGUAAGGGUCCGCCUCGCUUGCUACGCAUUCCUCAUACCUGUACGGCGCCGGAUGCUUCGUGCCCUUUUGCUGCCGUUUCCAUGAAUUGUAGUACGUGGGGUCACUCAUAUAAUGGUUCACAAAAGAGUGCUUGGGCAACUCGUCUUCGUAGUCUGAAUCCGUGGCCUGUGGUUUGAGAGAGGAACAAAAACAGCCGGCCGUUUUCAGCAGUGGAUCAGGUGCGAACGGCAAACUACCCAUGUGCAUCAUGGGGAAAACUGGCAUGGAACAAAAGGAGGAGAAAGAAAAGGAAAAGAGCCCAAAUUGCAAAUUAGGAAAAGAAUGACGGCUACCCGAAAAAAGCUGAGAGCAAAGGGUCCAACUAUUAAAG